Molecule: ribosomal RNA, 364 nt
Filed under: uncultured Butyrivibrio sp.
Lineage: Bacteria; Bacillati; Bacillota; Clostridia; Lachnospirales; Lachnospiraceae
Description: partial 16S ribosomal RNA
Source: RNAcentral
GGAGUCUGGGCCGUGUCUCAGUCCCAAUGUGGCCGUCCGCCCUCUCAGGCCGGCUACUGAUCGUCGCUUUGGUGGGCUUCUACCCCGCCAACUGGCUAAUCAGAUGCGGAUCCAUUCCAUCCCGAUAUAAAUCUUUUCACACUGUAAGAUGCCUUACUGUGCGCUUAUGCGGUAUUACCAACCGUUUCCAGCUGCUAUCCCCCCGGAUGGACCAGGUUAUCCACACGUUACUCACCCGUCCGCCACUAAGUAUAUACAAGAUUCUCUCUAUGCAAGCACUUCGAUCAUCAGCGCAUAUACUCCGUUCGACUUGCAUGUGUUAGGCACGCCGCCAGCGUUCAUCCUGAGCCACGGAUCAAACUCU